Molecule: ribosomal RNA, 252 nt
Filed under: uncultured bacterium
Lineage: Bacteria
Description: partial 16S ribosomal RNA
Rfam family: Bacterial small subunit ribosomal RNA
Source: RNAcentral
UACGUAGGGGGCAAGCGUUGUCCGGAAUUAUUGGGCGUAAAGCGCGCGCAGGCGGUCAUUUAAGUCUGGUGUUUAAGACCGGGGCUCAACCCCGGUACGCGCGGGAAACUGGGUGACUGGAGUGCAGGAGAGGGGAGUGGAAUUCCACGUGUAGCGGUGAAAUGCGUAGAGAUGUGGAGGAACACCAGUGGCGAAGGCGACUCUCUGGCCUGUAACUGACGCUGAGGCGCGAAAGCGUGGGGAGCAAACAGG